AGGACGAACGCUGGCGGCAGGCCUAAUACAUGCAAGUCGAGCGGGAGCCUCCUUCGGGAAGGCGAGAGCGGCGGACGGGUGCGGAGCGCGUAUGCGACCCACCCCUGCCAGCCGUACAGCCGGUGGAAACGCCGGGUGAUGCGGCAUGCACCCCGGGCGGGGCAUCCCAUCCGGGGCAAAGCGGAGACGCGGGCGGGGACGGGCAUGCGUCCCAUUAGCUGGUUGGCGGGGCGACGGCCCACCAAGGCGACGAUGGGUAGGGGGUCUGAGAGGACGGCCCCCCACACUGGCACUGAGACACGGGCCAGACUCCUGCGGGAGGCAGCAGUAGGGGAUAUUGGUCAAUGGGCGGAAGCCUGAACCAGCCAUGCCGCGUGAGGGAAUGAGGCCCUACGGGUCGUGAACCUCUUUUGACCGGGGACAAGGGCGCGCACGGGAUGCGCGCGUGAGGGUACCGGUGGAAUAAGCAUCGGCUAACUCCGUGCCAGCCGCGGC
This 495-nucleotide ribosomal RNA is filed under the name uncultured bacterium. Its description in RNAcentral is "bacterial SSU rRNA". It matches the Rfam family "Bacterial small subunit ribosomal RNA", at positions 26 to 518 of the family's 1533-position model. The record is from RNAcentral.